GGAGAGAUGGCUGAGUGGUCGAAGGCGUUCGAUUCGAAAUCGAAAGUACCUUGACCGGUACCGCAGGUUCAAAUCCUGUUCUCUCCGCCA
RNAcentral lists this transfer RNA (90 nucleotides) under Clostridiaceae bacterium. Its description in RNAcentral is "tRNA-Ser". It matches the Rfam family "tRNA". From Rfam's summary of the family: Transfer RNA (tRNA) molecules are approximately 80 nucleotides in length. Their secondary structure includes four short double-helical elements and three loops (D, anti-codon, and T loops). Further hydrogen bonds mediate the characteristic L-shaped molecular structure. tRNAs have two regions of fundamental functional importance: the anti-codon, which is responsible for specific mRNA codon recognition, and the 3' end, to which the tRNAs corresponding amino acid is attached (by aminoacyl-tRNA synthetases). tRNAs cope with the degeneracy of the genetic code in two manners: having more than one tRNA (with a specific anti-codon) for a particular amino acid; and 'wobble' base-pairing, i.e. permitting non-standard base-pairing at the 3rd anti-codon position. The record is from RNAcentral. RNAcentral also lists the same sequence under 3 other names. Lineage: Bacteria; Bacillati; Bacillota; Clostridia; Eubacteriales; Clostridiaceae.